Molecule: long non-coding RNA, 2556 nt
Organism: Oncorhynchus keta (chum salmon)
Lineage: Eukaryota; Metazoa; Chordata; Actinopteri; Salmoniformes; Salmonidae
Exons: 3
Source: RefSeq, a predicted model, not a curated record
AAGUCUGUGCUAACCCUGUUCCGGAGUAGAGCCAGCUAGCUGUGGACUUAGUUUGGUGCUAGCCCUGGACUGAAGUUGGUGCUAGCUGUGGACUAAGGUUGGUGCUAGUCCACUUUAGAAUGUGGCAAGUGUGAACACUUGCUUAGCCUCAGGCUAAAAUCUUCCUUAGCCCAGGACUAAGGUUGGUGCUAUCCCAGGGCUAAGGUUGGUGCUAGCCCUGGGCUAAGGUUGGUGCUAGCCCUGGGCUGAAGUUGGUGCUAGCCCUGGGCUGAAGUUGGUGCUAGCCCAGGGCUGAAGUUGGUGCUAGCCCUGGGCUAAGGUUGGUGCUAGCCCAGGUCUGAAGUUGGUGCUAGCCCUGGGCUGAGGUUGGUGCUAGCCCUGGGCUAAGGUUGGUGCUAGCCCAGGUCUGAAGUUGGUGCUAGCCCUGGGCUGAAGUUGGUGCUAGCCCUGGGCUAAGGUUGGUGCUAGCCCAGGUCUGAAGUUGGUGCUAGCCCUGGGCUAAGGUUGGUGCUAGCCCUGGGCUAAGGUUGGUGCUAGCCCUGGGCUAAGGUUGGUGCUAGCCCAGGGCUGAAGUUGGUGCUAGCCCAAAUGUUGUUGCCUGGUGGACGGUGUUUUUUCUUACAGCUAAUGCAUUUACACUCACAUACAAACAUAUUCACAUCUCACCGUAACAGUGUCUCUCAUAGUCCAUCUCUCUCAUCUCCGCACCCCUCUCUCUCUCUCUCCUUCCCUCUCUCUCUCUCUCUCUCUCUAGCUCUCAGAUGUUGGGAAGGUGAUUCUCUCUCCUUCACUCUCUCACUCCUCUCACUCUUUCCCUCUGUCUCUCUCCUUUUCUCUCUCCGUCUCUCUCUCAUAUGUUGGACAGGUGAUUCUUCUCUCUAGAUGUUGGACAGGUGUUUCUCCUCUCUAGAUGUUGGACAGGUGUUUCUCCUCUCUAGAUGUUGGGCAGGUAAUUCUCCUCUCUAGAUGUUGGACAGGUGUUUCUCCUCUCUAGAUGUUGGACAGGUGAUUCUCCUCUCUAGAUGUUGGACAGGUGUUUCUCCUCUCUAGAUGUUGGACAGGUGUUUCUCCUCUCUAGAUGUGGGACAGGUGUUUCUCCUCUCUAGAUGUGGGACAGGUGUUUCUCCUCUCUAGAUGUUGGACAGGUGUUUCUCCUCUCUAGAUGUGGGACAGGUAUUUCUCCUCUCUAGAUGUUGGACAGGUGAUUCACCUCUCUAGAUGUUGGACAGGUGAUUCUCCUCUCUAGAUGUUGGACAGGUGAUUCUUCUCUCUCUAGAUGUUGGACAGGUGUUUCUCCUCUCUAGAUGUUGGACAGGUGAUUCUCCUCUCUAGAUGUUGGACAGGUGUUUCUCCUCUCUAGAUGUUGGACAGGUGAUUCUCCUCUCUAGAUGAUGGACAGGUGUUUCUCCUCUCUAGAUGUUGGACAGGUGAUUCUCCUCUCUAGAUGUUGGACAGGUGAUUCUCCUCUCUAGAUGUUGGACAGGUGUUUCUCCUCUCUAGAUGUUGGACAGGUGUUUCUCCUCUCUAGAUGUUGGACAGGUGUUUCUCCUCUCUAGAUGUUGGACAGGUGAUUCUCCUCUCUAGAUGUUGGACAGGUGAUUCUCCUCUCUAGAUGUUGGACAGGUGAUUCUCCUCUCUAGAUGUUGGGCAGGUGAUUCUCCUCUCUAGAUGUUGGACAGGUGUUUCUCCUCUCUAGAUGUUGGACAGGUGAUUCUCCUCUCUAGAUGUUGGGCAGGUGAUUCCCCUCUCUAGAUGUUGGACAGGUGUUUCUCCUCUCUAGAUGUGGGACAGGUGUUUCUCCUCUCUAGAUGUUGGAGAGGUGAUUCUUCUCUCUCUAGAUGUUGGUCAGGUGAUUCUUCUCUCUCUAGAUGUUGGACAGGUGAUUCUCCUCUCUAGAUGUUGGACAGGUGUUUCUCCUCUCUAGAUGUUGGACAGGUGAUUCUCCUCUCUAGAUGUUGGACAGGUGUUUCUCCUCUCUAGAUAUUGGACAGGUGUUUCUCCUCUCUAGAUGUUGGACAGGUGAUUCUUCUCUCUCUAGAUGUUGGGCAGGUGAUUCUCCUCUCUAGAUGUUGGACAGGUGAUUCUCCUCUCUAGAUGUUGGACAGGUGAUUCUCCUCUCUAGAUGUUGGACAGGUGUUUCUCCUCUCUAGAUGUUGGACAGGUGUUUCUCCUCUCUAGAUGUUGGACAGGUGAUUCUCCUCUCUAGAUGUUGGACAGGUGUUUCUCCUCUCUAGAUGUUGGACAGGUGUUUCUCCUCUCUAGAUGUUGGACAGGUGAUUCUCCUCUCUAGAUGUUGGACAGGUGUUUCUCCUCUCUAGAUGUUGGACAGGUGAUUCUCCUCUCUAGAUGUUGGACAGGUGAUUCUUCUCUCUCUAGAUGUUGGGCAGGUGUUUCUCCUCUCUAGAUGUUGGACAGGUGAUUCUCCUCUCUAGAUGUUGGACAGGUGUUUCUCCUCUCUAGAUGUUGGGCAGGUGAUGGUCUGUGUAUCUGUGUUUGUUCUGUUUCUUGGUCUCUGGAGCAGGAGAUAUGUUGUUGCUGGGGAGCUGAGGAAGGUAC